Molecule: non-coding RNA, 246 nt
Filed under: Brevibacillus panacihumi
Lineage: Bacteria; Bacillati; Bacillota; Bacilli; Caryophanales; Paenibacillaceae
Description: T-box sequence
Rfam family: T-box leader
About the family: Uncharged tRNA acts as the effector for transcription antitermination of genes in the T-box leader family.
Source: RNAcentral
GAAACGACGAUGACGAAGAUAGGCUGUGUCCCGGAAAUCCUCAGAGAGCCGAUGGUUGCUGCGAAUCGGUGAUUCCCUUCACAGAUAAGCACUUUCGAGUUGUUGCGCUGAACCAUCUGUUUUGGAUGAAGUAUGCGCGAACGGUUGAUCCGUUAUCUCUACAGGUCAUGUACCUGGUAAGGCUCUUCUUUGAGAAAGGAAGAGCGAAUGAGGGUGGCACCGCGAAGCAAGCCUCUCGUCCCUCAC